This is a long non-coding RNA of Diprion similis, 181 nucleotides long. RefSeq lists it as uncharacterized. The transcript is spliced from 2 exons. Lineage: Eukaryota; Metazoa; Arthropoda; Insecta; Hymenoptera; Diprionidae. The record is from RefSeq and is a predicted model, not a curated record.
CUUUUUACAUUUGGGUAAAUCGCGGAAAAAUUCGGAGCAUGAAUCAAUGCAAAUAAACAUCAGCUGAAUCACUUCUGUAAGAUAGAGAGAACUGGUCAGAUGUUUUACAAUAUUGAGUUCAUACGUAGCUAUAUGAAUAAGCUUUGUUCAUUUUCCUAUAUGCUGUUACGGUACAUUGAUU